AAUGAACGCUGGCGGCAGGCCUAACACAUGCAAGUCGAGCGAGCAUUUCGGUGCUAGCGGCGGACGGGUGAGUAACGCGUGGGAACGUGCCCUUUUCUGCGGAAUAGUCCUGGGAAACUGGGGGUAAUACCGCAUACGCCCUUUUGGGGAAAGAUUUAUCGGAGAAGGAUCGGCCCGCGUUGGAUUAGGUAGUUGGUGGGGUAAUGGCCCACCAAGCCGACGAUCCAUAGCUGGUUUGAGAGGAUGAUCAGCCACACUGGGACUGAGACACGGCCCAGACUCCUACGGGAGGCAGCAGUGGGGAAUCUUAGACAAUGGGGGCAACCCUGAUCUAGCCAUGCCGCGUGAGUGAUGAAGGCCUUAGGGUUGUAUAGCUCUUUCAGCUGGGAAGAUAAUGACGGUACCAGCAGAAGAAGCCCCGGCUAACUCCGUG
Molecule: ribosomal RNA, 433 nt
Filed under: uncultured bacterium
Lineage: Bacteria
Description: partial 16S ribosomal RNA
Rfam family: Bacterial small subunit ribosomal RNA
Source: RNAcentral